This 630-nucleotide long non-coding RNA is filed under the name Equus asinus (donkey). Its description in RNAcentral is "lncRNA (ENSEASG00005036808.1)". The record is from RNAcentral. Lineage: Eukaryota; Metazoa; Chordata; Mammalia; Perissodactyla; Equidae.
AGUGUGUUCUUUGCUGUAGCUGUCGUCUGGACAGAAGUGCUCACCGCUGCACAGAACUCUGCCAAGGCCACUCUGAGGCAUCCACAUCUGAGUCCUGGGAGCUAAACACACCCACAGCUGUGGUUCUCCCUUGCAAUUCGGAUCUACUGGCUUGCCCUGGAUCCAUCUUACAACCCUGUUCUAUUGAAUCAAGAUCUGGAUGACACAUUGUCUUGGCAGUUGCAAAGCUCCCAGGCACAGUCAGCACCAUCUGAAGUUUGGUUCAGCAGAAUUGAGGAAAUCUUGGCCUCCACAAAGAAGAAAAGUCCUAAACUGGAAAAGUGUUAAAACUACAGAACUCCAAAACAUACUUAAUCCUGGUGUGAUGCACGAAACAGGACUAAGAAAAGCAGGGAACAGAAUGGGCACUGCCGUGCUCCUGGGUGACCACUUCCUCCCCGACUGGAGAAGCUGUUCAAUGGAGAGAACUCGCUGAACACUGUUGGAUUCAGUGGCAUGUAAGAUACCCGGGAAGUAGAGAAGACUGGUGGAAGUGAAUCAUUUGGAAUCCUAAAGAGCAGCCAGAUGUCCCUUCUUCAUACAGGGUCCGGAUAAUCUCUGCAGCUUUAACAACUUUUCAAGAGAAAUAAU